AAGGGUGUGACGCAACGGUAGCGUAACGGAUUCCAAUCCCGUUUGUUGCAGGUUCGAAUCCUGUCACCCUUG
RNAcentral lists this transfer RNA (72 nucleotides) under Pseudomonadota bacterium. RNAcentral's name for it is "Proteobacteria bacterium tRNA-Trp". It matches the Rfam family "tRNA". From Rfam's summary of the family: Transfer RNA (tRNA) molecules are approximately 80 nucleotides in length. The record is from RNAcentral. Lineage: Bacteria; Pseudomonadati; Pseudomonadota.